Molecule: long non-coding RNA, 1284 nt
Organism: Malaclemys terrapin pileata
Lineage: Eukaryota; Metazoa; Chordata; Testudines; Emydidae
Exons: 3
Source: RefSeq, a predicted model, not a curated record
UUUGAAGCAACAAAUAGAGCUUUAAGUAGUGAUGGCUCAUGCUUGGCUUUUGCAGCUGCGCUUCCAGAGGAAUUUUCCAAGAGCCCUAUCCUGAGGAGAAAGUGGCAGAAGUGGACCUGAGCAGACUGGACAUCCCUGUAAGCAGACAUGAACAUCCUUGUCAGCAGACAUGAACAGUCCUCAACUUUCUGGCUCCCGCAUAACUGGCUUACCGAGGGAAAAGAAAUCAAACGUCAGCGUUUCCUCCCCUUCUCGGAUGGAAAGCGAGCAAGAGCAGUGAGCCUGCGAACAUUGUGGAUGCAAGUCAGGAGCCGUCCAGUUAGCAGUGGAGCAGUCGCUACCGUCAGUGAGAUAAGUGUGUGGUUUGGUGAGGGUUCUGCGUAGGGCCCCAAUGGCUCCAGGUAGGGACGCCCCGUUAGCUGGGGCUGGGUUUGUAAGAAAUGGUUCCUAAGCAGCUGUGGUUACGAGAGAGACAAGGUCCCCAUUUUCAGGGACUGCUCAUUUCUCUGCCCAGAUGCGGUGUGUCCUCGGAAGCAGAAGGUUGCAUCCAGGAGGAUGACUCCAGGUGGUGAGUUACUUGCCUUCCUCCCAUUUUUUUCUCUCUGUCUCUUUCUCUCUCUCCUCUAGUGUGUUGGCCAACUUUCUCACUCUCUUUCCUCUCCUCUCCUCGUGCCGUCUCCCUUCGUAGGACCACGGGCAUCCGUGCUAGGUGUGCAUCCUAGCCAGGUCUCGGGAGCCAUGGAGAAGUAGGAGCGGGGCAGUGGGCACAAAAGUGGAGCUGUGACUGUCUGUGUUUACUUAGUUUCUGUUCAUCGAGUGGGGCUGAUGUAGAUGGGACUGGAGAGGGAGGCAGGGAUGAGGGCAAGACUCGACGCCCCAAUAGAGCUCUGUGUAGUGAUAGUUGUUGCUUGGCUUUAUUAGUUUGCGGAGGAAUCGUCCAGGAGCCCUAGCCGGACAAGAAUAUGGCAGAAGUGGACCUGAGCAGUCUGGACAUCCUUCUAAGGAGAUAUGAAUAGUCCUCAUGUUUCUGCCUUCUGCAUCGCUGGCUGUGAGUAAGAGGUUUAGAGCCAAGGAAAACGAAGUCACGCGUCAGAGUCUACUGCCCUCAUGCGAUGGAAAGCGAGCGAGAGCGUUGAGACUCUGAGCAUUGUUGAUGCCACUCAAAAGCCGUCCAUCUGGGAGCUGUGGAGACGCCGCUGUCAGUGAGAUAAGUGUCUGGUUUGGUGAGGGCUCUGCUCACGCCCAACCUGAGUCCAGGUUGGGAAGCCCACUAAGUUGGGGCUG